AUUUCUCUCUUUUGGAUGACGAGUUUGCCGACCACUGGUUAGUAUAUUGUGUGUAUGUGUAUAGAUCUAUGUCCCUUGUGUCUAAUCUUCGGUUCCAGAUCAAAACACAGAUCUCUUCUUUGUAAUAUAAAAAGGGAACAUCAUACAAAUUGCUAGAAAUUAUUACCUCUGAGAAGCAGACAGUAAAUAAAAACGCUAAAAAAAUUGGUGUAUCAAUAAUUCUUUAAGGCAAGUAGUCAUUGACAAAGGUAGAAUUUAACAAUUUUGAAUUUAAUGUCAUUGUCAUAAAAUUUUCCUAAUAACCAAGGGCAAGCUAUUAAACCACUGAUUUAGCAAAGCAAAUAUCUAUCAUGAAGAUGUAGACCAGCAUGAUGAAGAUGUAGACCAGCAUGAUGAAGAUGUAGACCAGCAUGAUGAAGAUGUAGACCAACAUGAUGAAAAGGUAGACAUGUACAUGUAGACCAACAUGAAGAUGUAGACCAACAUGAAGAUGUAGACCAACAUGAAGAUGUAGACCAGCAUGAUGAAGAUGUAGACCAGCAUGAUGAAGAUGUAGACCAACAUGAUGAAAAGGUAGACAUGUACAUGUAGACCAACAUGAAGAUGUAGACCAACAUGAAGAUGUAGACCAACAUGAAGAUGUAGACCAACAUGAAGAUGUAGACCAACAUGAAGAUGUAGACCAGCAUGAUGAAGAUGUAGACCAACAUGAAGAUGAAAUGUAAACCAAAAUAUUUAUCAAGAGAUGUAUGAAAUAAAAAGUGAACAUCUUGAGAGGGAAAACAAUUCCUAGAGGCAAAGACACAGACACAUUAGAUACAUUAGAGAUUGUUUCCUUUUCUACCAUCAUUUAGAGCCUUUUUUGAGAGGGAACCUGCAUCUGUAAAGAAAUGAACAUUUCCCUAAUGCUACUUCAAAUUCAGAUCUCCUCCCAACCUCAGGCUGAGUACCCGUGGUCACCUACUUUAUGUUACAUUACCAUAGCACUACCUGCGUCUGUAAAGAAAUGAACAUUUCCCUAAUGCUACUUCAAAUUCAGAUCUCCUCCCAACCUCAGGCUGAGUACCCGUGGUCACCUACUUUAUGUUACAUUACCAUAGCACUACAGACAGUGGAAAACAAAUUAUAUGAAGGAGUGCAACCACCAUCAGAUAUUGUUGUCUUUACAGACUCCCAAUCUACUCUUCAAGAACUUAACAGCAGCACCUCAAACAGCCCAAGAGAGUUGACAACACUCAUUGUGAUAAUCCACCAGAUGAUAUCAAAAUUAAAUAUCAAUAUCACACUACAGUGGAUCCCUGGACACAUUGUCAUCAUGGAAAAUGAAAAGGCAGAUAAGAUAUCAAAGGCAGGUUCAUCUAUGGAACAACUAGAUAGACCUGUUAACUACCUCACCCUAAGGUCAAUGUUAGUCAACAAUCAUUAAGAGGAGUGGCUCAACCAAUGGUCAUCAGGAAACACAGGCAGAGCCAUGUACAAAGAAAUGACUACACCUAACAAACUGGACAGCAUUAACUUCCUCCCCUGCAAAGAACAAUCUACAAUUUUCCAACUAAGAACAGGACACACUCCACUAUUAAAUUACCACCUGAACAAAAUAAACUCCACACAACUCCUCCUUUGCAGACACUGCGCCCACCCCUUUGAAACCGUAAACCAUAUCCUCUUUGAAUGCUCCUCCCUAAUCCACCUUAGGCAGACCCUACUUCCACUACAGUCCAACAUAACCAACACCCUGUACGACAGUGCUGAACAACUGAAGAAAACAGCACACUUUUUUUCCUUGGCACAGUCUGCAAAAGAGCUUACAGCUCAGCAGCAAUAAAGCUGGCUAGAAGAAGAAGAAGAAAAAGAGGUUACAUUACAAGAAGUGGUCGCAAAGUCAGAAAACCUAACAGAUGACAAUGAAUAGAACAAUCAUUUCUAAUAUAGGUACAAGUGAUGUACUUUGUAAUAACUAUUUGGGUGGAAUCACUAUAAUUGACUUGUAUCUUGUUCUAUAUUUAGGUAAAUCUUGUCAUUCAGUCCAGUCAUUGUUCUUUUUCAUAUUCCUUUUUUUCCCCUCAAUCUUCUUGUUGUUUCAGUGAAAUGUUUUUAUCUUUUUUGUUUUGGAGGAGGGAGUGGCUGUGGUAUAUUAUCAUUAUUAUUAUUGGAGUCACAACACCAAAGCCUUGCUACAUUAUGCUUUUAAUUCAAUUUAUUAUCUCCCCUGCUUUUGUGUGCUAUCAUAUUAAUGUUCAUUAGUGUCACAUCCAUGCACAAUUUGUUCUAUGCUUUUUAUAGUGUAAAUAGUGACUUAACAUUAUUUAGAUCAAUUAUAUGUUAUAUUAUAUUUAAACUAAAACUGUUAGCAUUUUCUAUGCUAUUAUUAAUAUGAAUGUGUUUGUGUGUUGCUAUGAAUGCAUUUUAAGUUUUAGUCUGAAAUCAUAAAUAAGAAAUUGUUUCAUAAACAAAGAUUAUAUUAAUAUUUAAUAUUUCAGACUUCACUAUAGCAUUGAGUUCAUCCCCAUAGUCUAUUUAAAACUUUCAAAUACUAAUUCACUUUGUCUUAUCUAAUGGUGAUCAUGGUAUCCACUAUCCAUAGUCUCUGGUAUAAACACUCACUGUCCUGGUUAGGGCUAGGAUGUAAUCUCUAUUUCUGAUGGAACACAUGUAAAACCAAGAAAACAAACAGUAGACCUAGACUUUAUUAACAGGUCAUGCAAGCAUUUUUUUAUAAUUGUGAACUGAUGCUCUCAGAUCUAUUUUUAUGUAUUUUUAUUUUUGCUACUUUUGUAGACUAGUGCUAAGCUGUAUGCUUAUACUUCUGCCUAAUAUUAUAUGGGUUAGGGCGAUGCUGUUUCCUGUACUGUUGACCAGAGUGUGUCAGUUUUUAAUUAUUCUGUACUUGGAACUGCCUUUAAGUUUCAGAAUUUGUUGUUUUUUUUCUAUAUGUAAAGCUACUUUAUAUAUAUAGUUAUAUAUUAUGGUACAUUAUUUUUCUAAUUGAAACAACUGUCAAAAUAAUUGGCAGUUUUUUUUUUUAAAGUUUGUUUUAAAAUGAUGGCCACUUCUAAUGUUUAUGUACUAGAUCUUUUCCUAAUUUUUUUGUUUUUUUAUCUGCAGUGUUUUGUAACUGCUGCUUUGCUCAUUUGAAUUAAAGUAUCAUUUUGUUA
Biomphalaria glabrata is the source of this 3155-nucleotide long non-coding RNA. RefSeq lists it as uncharacterized. The transcript has 4 exons. Lineage: Eukaryota; Metazoa; Mollusca; Gastropoda; Planorbidae. The record is from RefSeq and is a predicted model, not a curated record.